RNA transcript from Musa acuminata subsp. malaccensis (wild Malaysian banana), 2016 nucleotides. It is a transcript of the gene named mitochondrial arginine transporter BAC2, with no coding region annotated. Lineage: Eukaryota; Viridiplantae; Streptophyta; Magnoliopsida; Zingiberales; Musaceae. The record is from RefSeq and is a predicted model, not a curated record.
UGUGACCGGGUCGGCGUCCCGAUCUCCUCCAUGCCCGCCGCUCCCGUGAUCGGGUCGUCCUCCGCCCCGUCUUCCUGUUCUUACACGCCGCUUAUGCAGUCCGACGUCCACGUAUCCGACUUACUAUGAUAACUCCCUAUUUUACUACGACAACUCCCCCCUUAUCGCUUGCGGCAGCUGAGGAUAUCGACAAAGGAGGGCAGCCACCUUUUUCUUCCACCACUGAUAUCACACGUGCAGACACGGGAGAGGCGUGGUUGGUUUCACCGCACCAGUCCGCCGCUCUCAGGAGCGCCCCUGCGCUCGGACUCUGGCCAUUUCCUGCGCGCAUCUCGCUUUGCUCUUCCUCGUUCAUGGCUUCGGCUGCCUCCACCCUUCCCCUCUGCGUGCCUGGCCUCAUAUGCUCCUCGAUCCCUCUGCUCUUCUCGUCUGUUCUAUAAACGAGUACAAACGAGAGAGAGAGAGAUCAUGACUUCAGCCGCCUCCACCCUUCGUUUCUGCGUGCCUGGCCUCAUAUGCUCCUGGAUCCCUGAGCUUUCCUCAUCUGUUCUAUAAACGAGUACAAACGAGAGAGAGCUUCCAGUUUUGACAACCCUUCUUGUUUGGGAGAUUGGGCAGUAUAAAAAACGGAUCUUUAUUUAUUUGAGGAAAGAAGAGGAGAGAAAGGGGAGUGGGGGUGUGGAAUGCUGGGGAGAUGGAGUUUUGGCCGGAGUUCUUGGCGAGCAGCUGGGGGAAGGAGUUCGUGGCGGGAGGGAUCGGCGGCAUGGCCGGUGUCAUCUCCGGCUACCCCCUCGACACGCUCCGCAUCCGCCUGCAGCAGCCGCCAGCUCCCUCCACCGCCGGCCCUCGCCGCCCGCCCUCCGCCCUGGGCCUCCUCCGAAGCAUCCUCGCGUCCGAGGGCCCCGCCGCGCUCUACCGCGGCAUGGCCGCUCCCCUCGCCUCCGUCACCUUCCAGAAUGCCAUGGUCUUUCAGGUGUAUGCAGUCUUAUCUCGAGCUUUUGAUUCCAAGAAUAUGAAUGAACCUCCUUCGUAUGGAAGUGUUGCAUUAAGCGGAUUUGGAACAGGUGCCUUGCAGAGUUUGAUAUUAAGCCCGGUUGAGCUUGUGAAAAUAAGGCUUCAACUACAGAUGAUUGGCAAUAAGGGUCGUCAACACGGUCGACUAGGACCGGUUAGCAUGGCCAAGGAGAUAAAAAAGAAAGAAGGGAUCCGGGGUUUAUACCGAGGCCUGUCGAUCACUGUCCUUCGAGAUGCACCUGCACAUGGAGUUUACUUCUGGACUUAUGAGUACGCACGAGAGCAGCUUCACCCAGGUUGCCGUAAGACUGGCCAAGAAAGCCUCGGAACAAUGCUCAUUGCUGGAGGAUUGGCAGGAGUAGCUAGUUGGAUCUGUUGCUACCCGCUAGAUGUGGUGAAAUCCAGACUCCAGGCGCAAUCGAAGCCUCGGGCCGGUCAGCUGCCUCCAAAAUACCUCGGAAUUGUCGAUUGCAUUCGCAAGAGUGUAGAGGAAGAGGGUGUUGCUGUGCUGUUCCGUGGACUGGGAACCGCUGUUACCCGGGCCUUUGUUGUCAAUGGAGCCAUCUUCUCUGCUUAUGAGUUAGCUCUUAGGUCCUUGUUCAAUAACAACUAAAGAUUUACAACAUAACUUGUUAAAUGGGGAUACACUAAACUGAAGUAGAAUGUGGCACAGCCAUAUCCAAACAGAGUGCUGCACAAAGUUUCUCUCACGGCCUUCAGUUGUGGCUUCAGAAGUUAUCUUUGCUGAUGCUGAAGCAGAUGGAUUUGAUGCUGAAGCCUCCCUCCGUUGAAGUUUCCUCUUUGACAAAGACAUUUUGGACCUCCUGAAAUCUCUAUAUAUGAUAAAGAAAUCAACAAGACACUCACUCGAGUUCCAUCAAGCAUCAUUUAUUUUUUAUCGUGUUGAUUGAGACAGCAACCAAAUACAUCUCUGUCUUUUCUAAUAUGAACAGAUUCUUUGCUUAGAAGCCUCUUUGUACUAAUCCAGACUUUACACAUGAU